AGUGAACGCUGGCGGUAGGCCUAACACAUGCAAGUCGAACGGCAGCACAGUAAGAGCUUGCUCUUACGGGUGGCGAGUGGCGGACGGGUGAGGAAUACAUCGGAAUCUACUUUUUCGUGGGGGAUCACGUAGGGAAACUUACGCUAAUACCGCAUACUACCUACGGGUGAAAGCAGGGGAUCUUCGGACCUUGCGCGCUUGUAUGAGCCGAUGUCGGAUUAGCUAGUUGGCGGGGUAAAGGCCCACCAAGGCGACGAUCCGUAGCUGGUCUGAGAGGAUGAUCAGCCACACUGGAACUGAGACACGGUCCAGACUCCUACGGGAGGCAGCAGUGGGGAAUAUUGGACAAUGGGCGCAAGCCUGAUCCAGCCAUACCGCGUGGGUGAAGAAGGCCUUCGGGUUGUAAAGCCCUUUUGUUGGGAAAGAAAAGCAGAAGGUUAAUACCCCGCUGUUCUGACGGUACCCAAAGAAUAAGCACCGGCUAACUUCGUG
This 492-nucleotide ribosomal RNA is filed under the name uncultured bacterium. RNAcentral's name for it is "partial 16S ribosomal RNA". It matches the Rfam family "Bacterial small subunit ribosomal RNA", at positions 29 to 507 of the family's 1533-position model. The record is from RNAcentral.